CAGCCGCCACGGUAAUACGUAUGUCACAAGCGUUAUCCGGAUUAUUUGGGCGUAAAGCGCGUCUAGGUGAUUAUGUAAGUCAGAUGUGAAAAUGCAGGGCUCAACUCUGUAUUGCGUUGGAAACUGUGUAACUAGAGUACUGGAGAGGUAAGCGGAACUACAAGUGUAGAGGUGAAAUUCGUAGAUAUUUGUAGGAAUGUCGAUGGGGAAGCCAGCUUACUGGACAGAUACUGACGCUAAAGCGCGAAAGCGUGGGUAGCAAACAGGAUUAGAUACCCGCGUAGUCCCUGUCUCUUAUACA
This 301-nucleotide ribosomal RNA is filed under the name uncultured bacterium. RNAcentral describes it as "partial 16S ribosomal RNA". It matches the Rfam family "Bacterial small subunit ribosomal RNA", at positions 509 to 808 of the family's 1533-position model. The record is from RNAcentral.